UAUAAAAUUGCAGUUUAGUUUUGUUAUUUGAAAUAAAACAUUGUUUUAUUAUACAAAGAAACGUGAAGCAUUUAAGAAAUAAUGCAAGGGAAGUUGUUCAUUUCUAAUUUGUUUCAACUCAUUUUGUAAAAAUAAAUCGUGAGUAAAUCGUGAAUAAAUUGCAUCGUGAGAUCAGAAUCGUGACUCGCAUCGCAUCGUGAAUCGUUACAUCCCUAAUGUCUUUUCAUAUCUAUACGACGGCAUAACAAUGUCUGACAACAAUGUAAUGAAGGAAAAUGUGCAAAAUGCCCUAAACUCUAAACCUGCACUGAACAUACAUUCAUUUCAACAAUAACAACUUUAAAAGAAAACUAAAGUGUUGUUUUCUGCUGAACUGAGAUGAACACGUAGCAGCAUCAAGUUGUGACUGAUCAUCCUCUUAUAACAUUUCAGCUCUUCUUGUGGCUGUUGCAGCUGAAAGGGGGGUUUGUUUAAUAUUUUCUCUUAGUUCAUGUCUUUAUUUUCCUUCUAUAAGUGUUUCACACGCAGCUUCCAUGCACUCUAUUUCCCCAUCAGUAAAGGGCUUGUUAUGUUUUCCUAAGAUCCACUGUAUUCUUAGGGAACACGGUAAGUGAGUGAGGGAGGACCCGUGUAGAUCGCUCCUACUGGGAUUUGAGCUCAUAUAUUUUCCGUGUCCUUACCUCGGACUGCUGCGGGUAAGUUUCUUCAUAGUGUCUGUAGGAGCCAUACUUAUUAUUUUAUUAAACUUUUCUACAUGUUCAUUUAAAUAUCAAUUUGUUGCUAUAUUGUUAAUGUUGUUUAUUUCUCUGAGUGUGUGUCCUCUAUAGGUGUAGAGGAAAAAAGGUUUAAAAGGAUAUGCCACCCUUGACAGGAAGAGGGCGCUGGUGCGAGAACACACAGUUUUUGACCGUGCGCAUUGAGCUAAAAUGGCAGCAAACAACAAGCCUGCAUGUGGCCUUUAAGUUGUUUUUCUUUUUGUAGUAAUUCAGUUUGGUUUUGAUUGAAUAAACAGUUAUUAUUUGGAACAUCAGCAAGGCUUUCUGGAUCUAUUCAAGCAACUCAGCACGCGUCAGAUUACUGCAUCAACACCUCCCACAGUGGUUAAGAAACAAGGGACAAAAUUGGAGAUUAUUACUUCAGAUUUAACCAGUACUGUGUCUAUGUCUAGUUUCAUAAUGCCGUUCAAGGUUUCCACUUUUGAUAACCGCAACAGACUCCUAGCAAAUGAGACAAACCGGUCACGUGCAUCUCGAUGGAGGAAGAAUAAAUGCAAAUCUCUCGAGCCAUUCAUCUCGGAAAACAUGGUUUUCAGCGUCAACUUUUCUAACUUUUGAAAAGGACAUUGUUUUUGAGUCACCGACAGUUACAUCUGUCUGCGCGCUGCAUCUAGUCUGUCUCGGCUCUCUUCACUCAUCGACGUCUGAACGUAGCAACAGUGCGCAUAUGUUAACUGUCCGUGGCGCCGUAGGACCCAAACUGCUACUGAGCAGACCUUGAUGUGCCUGGUAUAAAUUUGAUUGCAUUAGAAAAUAAUGUUAGGCGUUCAUUUACUUAUUAUGUCAAAAGGCUUUGAGGUCCGGACGGACGCAUCUCGCGGUCCGCAUUCGGACCGGAGUUCGCUAGUUGGUGACCCCUGGUUUAGAAAAACAGCACAAACAACAUGCAGCACCUGCCAGGCUACAUGCGUGCACGUCAGGGUCCGCCAUAUUAACCAGAACUACUUAGCAUUGUCGCUACCUGAUCCGUCCCGGAAACACAAUUUGUUCCGCGCAUGCGCGACACUGACGCCCCUUCCGGUUAAUCCAGUUUUUACGACGUCGACUCGAUCCUUUCAGGGGUUGCUCGAUUUGUAUUGCACAUGUGCAAAAGCGCAUCACGACACUUGUCCUGCGGAUGUGCUCGAUUAGAUAUUUGGUGAUGAGUAUAUGUGAUAGCAGUAUGGAUUCUUUUGCAUUUGAUGAACAACUUAAAUAUUAUCUCUUAAAAGGAGAAAUUCCUGACAGCCCUACAGAGCGUCGGAAGAUGACAGACUCUUCUACAUGGGCCCUAGCAGAGCAUGCAGUACAUACGGCUAGUUGUCCUGUCAGAGGAAGAGAAAACAUCUGAUUUUACAGAGUGCCACAAUAACCCAGGAACUGUCAAUCACAGUGGUGUCAGAGGCACUCAAAACAGGGUUAUUGCUGGCUACUAUUGGUCCACAAUAAUCAACGACGUGAAAGAAUGGGUGAGAUCUUGUCACUGCUGCCAGCUGAAUGACCCCAUCAAACUGUUGUGCGAGUCUUGCAUUACAUUAAGGUAAAAGAAGCUUGGGAGGUGCUUGGUUUAGAUUGAUUGGACCACUACCAGAAACAGAACGCAGCAACAAGUAUGUCCAUACCAUGACUGACCUGUACACCAAAUGGGAAAUGCUUGCCUCAAGAUUGUAGAAGAAGCUGCACGACAACAUUUACUGUGUACUAUUAUGGGCCGGUUUCACAGACAAGGCUUUAGCUUACGCCAGCACUAGGCCUUAGUUAAUUAUCUGCAUGCUGAUGUAUGCACCUGCACAUCGUGUCCAUUAACAUUCACAGAGACACCCGACGGUAGUCCAAACCAUUGCAGUCUAUCUGUCCUUCCGGUUUUCUUCCCACCUUUUCGAUUUCAACAUGGCAGCAGAGUGAAAUCUAUUGUGGUCAUAUAGUAUAUUAAGCAGUUGGAUGCAUGCUGAAUAUGUGCCUAUAUACAUGCAUGCACAUAUACAUACAUGAAUACAAACUUGUGUUUUUACUUUACCAGGUGCAGCAGCCAGCCAUUGUCAGAGACCUACAUUCAGCAUGGGACUGAAUACAAAGUCACAGAGACUUAUUCCAUGGGGAGGUGACAGAGCCUGUAUUUUUGCGGAUGCACAUGGACGAUCAACAAAAUGUCAUCAGAAAGGUCCUGAGGGGUCAAUUCUCCAAGGCGAAGGAUGACUUUUUGUUUGUAUUUCAGUAUCAAGAAGACAUGGAAACAUUUUUUGGCAUACUGUAUUGAUAAACACGGCCUAAAGGUCAAUGCCAUGUUCCUCAAUCAGCAAUUUAAGUAGAUGAAUAGAUGAGUGAGGGAGGGAGGUAGUGAGUGAGUGUGUGACU
Molecule: long non-coding RNA, 3110 nt
Organism: Triplophysa rosa
Lineage: Eukaryota; Metazoa; Chordata; Actinopteri; Cypriniformes; Nemacheilidae
Exons: 7
Source: RefSeq, a predicted model, not a curated record